Molecule: long non-coding RNA, 3832 nt
Filed under: Mus musculus (house mouse)
Lineage: Eukaryota; Metazoa; Chordata; Mammalia; Rodentia; Muridae
Description: long non-coding RNA chr10:90901305-90905137
Source: RNAcentral
UCUGACAGUACUGCCUGGAGCAUUUAUUAGACACUCUGAAGGCCUUUUCCAAAUGGUUUCUAAUUCAUUAGAAAGCUAAUUCAGCUGAAAGCCUAAUAUUUCUUGAUCUGCGAAGAAUUACUUAAUAUCUGUAACUAGAUUGAUCACUCCCUCAUUUGAAAGUACUUUACAUGUAUUAGUUUCACAGUCCUCAUUCAUUUGCUAUUAUUAAAAGGAAGGAACUAGAGGCAUUCUUGUGAGGGCCCUGCUACCACCUUCCCUACUGGUCCCUACCGGGUAUUGCUCUAUUUCUCUUAUUUAAUUCUCCAAACAGUCCAUCCUUGUAAAUAAAUAGCAGGUUACUAUAACUCCUGCCUUCUUCCCCAAUAGCCCCUGAGGCCCAAUCCUAUCAAAUAGUUUGAUGACCAUUCAACAAGUAGCAGUGUAAUAGAUUGUGAAUAUGUAGUUGCAUAUGUCGAUUGCAUAUAUGUAGUUGCAUAUGUCGAUUGCAUAUAUGUAGUUGCAUAUGUCGAUUGCACAUAUGUAGUUGCAUAUGUCGAUUGCAUAUAUGCAGUUGCAGAUAAAGAAGGCGCACCAUGAGCAGCUUAGCGGAAACUUCAUGGCUCAGUUCAUGCUUGCCGUCAGGAAGCCUGUUAAACAAAAAGUGGCAAGGUUUAUAGCAGAUAAAGUAGAAACCUUUUCCAUCUUGGCACCACUGUGUCCUCCCAUGUCUACAAAAAGCUUUGUGUCAGGUAUGGAAUUACUCUGUACCCAGAAAUUCUUGGCUGGGUGAUUCUCCAAAUAAGGAAGCUGGGUUUUUUUUUUUCAUAGUUUCUUCAGUUGGGGUUCUGAGUUGAUUUCUUUCUGCCUAUGCAACUUGGACCAAGUCAUUUUGUAUUUCUGAACUUUAAUUUACUUGGCUUUAAGAUGUGAACAAUGCCUGCUAUUCGGGUUUGUGUGUGUCAGAUAAUGUGUGCAGAAGUAUUAAGGCUGGAUAGGUGGACACAUGAUGGAUGGAUGGAUGAUGGAUGGAUAGAUGGAUGGAUGGAUGGGUAGGUAAGUAGGUAGGUAGAUGAUAGAUAAAUAGAUAAUAUAUGUUAGAUACAUACAUACAUAUAUAGAAAUAUGCAUACAUACAUACAUAGUCUUAGUUACUUUUUAUCGCUGUGACAAAGCAACUUAUAGAAGAAAGAUUAUUUGGGACAUACAGCCUCAGAUGGUUAGCUGAUGAGCAUCAUGGCAGGGAACAUGGCAGCAGGCAGGCAGGCAUGGCACUGGAGCAGUACAUAAACCAGAGAAGUAAGGUGUUCCCCAGAACACUUACCCUUUUCUAAAAAGGACGAAAGCUUAUAAUUUAUUUACCCUAUCCUAUUUCUCCUGAGAGAAAAAACUGUUCUUUCCUAGACGUUCUGUCCAGUGCUCAGCAUUUUUUCGAAGUCUACAGUAUGAGCCUUCAGAAAAAUAAUAGCUGUGUUGGAAGAAACAGUUUUUAUUACUGUAUUACAUCAUAUACUUUCUAAUGUCCGUGGGUUAGCUAUUUGUUUUAGAUUUUCCUCAGAGAGCUCCUAAAUAUAAAGGUUUUUUUUUUCCCCAUCCAUGGUUUCAAAUUUUUCUUCCAUAGUCUAGAGCAGUGGUUCUCAACCUGUGGGUCACAACCUCUUGAGGGUUGAAUAAGGAUUCUUUAACAGGGGUCACAUAUCAGAUAUCUUGCCCAGUAGAUUAUUUACGUUGGGAUUCCUAACAGUCACAAAGUUACAGUUGUGAAGUAGCAACAAGAAUAAUUUUAUGGCUAGGGGUCACCACAACAUAAGGAACUGUGUUAAAGGGUUGUCGCAUUAGAAAAUUAGUGGACCUCCUCCCACUGAAGCACAGGCAGAUAAUGUGUCACCGACAAGGCUGAGAAUGGACUCUCUGACAUCAAGAGCUUCCUCCCUCACAGCUUGCCAAGUUGAUAAGCUGGCACUUCAGCUUCCAAGACGGUUUAAGAAGCUGCCACUCUCCAUGAGCUGAGAAGCCAAACCGACCACUCCUGCUGCUGAAGGGCUCACACCAAGCACAAGGAGAAAACGGUGCUUCCAGACUCGGACUUAAACCUGAAGUGCUGUGCACUUCCUUGGUUAACUUAGUCAAUUCAUUGCCUCUUCUCAAAAUAUACCCUUUUUUUUUUUUUUUUAGCUCCGACAACUUUGGGCUUAAAAAUGCUCAUGUGGUUAGUGUCUUUUGUAUCCCCAUAUUGGUCUUUACAUAAUCAGAAAAAAAGGGGGGAGAGUUGCCUUUUGAGGUUCGCCCUUGUAUUAUACAUCUGGAAUCUUUUGUCCUCAGCAAGUUCAUCAAAGAAGCAAAUGGGAUGCCUGGAGUUUGUCCUGACAGGCUUUAGUCAGACCUAAAUCCCUCCAAUUAUUUUUCUGGAGAAAUUAAAACCUUUUUUUUCCUUUUAAGUCAAUAGAAAAGAUUCUAUUUUCAACGGAAUAGAGAAAUAGGACAAUAUUUGAAAACCCUGGUUCAGUGGAACUGACCUUGUGGUUUUCAUAGUGCCUCGGGCUUGCUGACAUUGAGCAGCUUGCUCUCAAAGACACACACCAGGCUAUUUUUCUACUUGUUAAAUUUUUUGGAAUGUUCCUCAUUAUAUUCAGUCCAGUUCUUGAGUCCAUGGGUCAGAGUUUCAGCUGUUAUAAUCUGACCUUGCUCAAUUUUAAAGGGUAGGAGAAUUCUAUCAUUCUCUUCUCCCUCCUCCUUUUCUUCUUCUAGUGAUAAAAAUAAAGAAAAGAAGGUUGGGUUUGGGUUUUUUUUUUUUUCAAUAUAGAGGAAAUAGGGCUGGUGGUGCAUACCUCUUAGUUAAUUCUGUUAGUACAUGACUAAAGUUCCAUGUCGGUGAGGACUCUCUGGAUACAUAUGAGUAACAACAGCAACAAAACAUCCCAAGAUGGCUAAUGUUGAAAGGGCUGUACUUAGUCACAUUGCUGUAAAGUCCAGGUGGUCUUCUAGUCAGGUGUUUAUAGCCAGGUGGUCUUCUAGCCAGGUGGUCUUCUAGCCAGGUGGUCUUCUAGCCAGGUGUUUAUAGCCAGGUGGUCUCCUAGCCAGGUGUUUAUAGCCAGGUGUUUAUAACCAGGUGUUUAUAGCCAGGUGGUCUUCUAGCCAGGUGGUCUAAUGCCAGGAUUAUUGAGCUCUGGUGUUUCCACCUUCCUUCCACAUGCUGGCAUUUACUCAAGUGAUUGUUGCCAAUUAAAACCAGACCAUAAGCUUUCUUUUUCUUUUUCAAAGUCUGUUGAAGAGAUUCUAUUUUCUGAAUAAAGAAACAGGACAAUCUUUGAAAACCCCAUCUCGGUGGAACUGACCUUGUGGGUUUUGUAGGCUUGCUGACCAACCCCGUGAUCCUUUCUCUGAGGCUCCCUAUGCUCCUUUCCGUUGGUUCCUUUUCCCUAAUAGGCUUACCCCACAGGUGGGGAGUUUCAUGACCAGUUCCUCAAAAGUUUGAUCCUACAUCAAAGAGAGCUAAUCCUUCCAUCUUGAAAGUGUGGUUUAAGUCCAAUCAGUUCAGAUCAGCCUGGUUUGCAUCAAUUGUCUCUCUCUAAGCCAGCCACAGAGGUAGAGGUAUGUGUGUCCUUUUCUAUGUGUGCUGUGGCAGGAAAGGGACUCUCAGCAUGGACAGUCAGAUUCCACUGGUAGGAAACAGGAUUCAUUUCUAAGCAGACAGAAAUAGUCACAAUAGCCAACUGGAUAAACUUGCUUGACCUUUCCAAUCCUGCCAAUGUCCAUUAGAAAUUAGUUACAUUAUAAGGGCAUUGAUGUCAGUCUUCAUGAUUAGUUUGAUGAGCUUUUAGACUCCCAAAUUUGAAGUAAAGAAGUGAACCCU